This 440-nucleotide ribosomal RNA is filed under the name Afrixalus fornasini (leaf-folding frog). RNAcentral's name for it is "partial large subunit ribosomal RNA". It matches the Rfam family "Bacterial large subunit ribosomal RNA", at positions 2017 to 2620 of the family's 2925-position model. The record is from RNAcentral. Lineage: Eukaryota; Metazoa; Chordata; Amphibia; Anura; Hyperoliidae.
UGUCUCCUUCCUCCAAUCAAUGAAAUUGAUCUUCUCGUGAAGAAGCGAGAAUAUUAUUAUUAGACGAGAAGACCCCAUGGAGCUUUAAACUUAUUACCAGUUACUUAACCUCUAAACCACAAUAUGUAGUAAAAAUGUUCUUAAUAGUUUUCGGCUGGGGUGGCCCUGGAGUAAAACAAACCCUCCAGAAUGAACGGAAUAAUAAUCCUAAUCUAAGAAUUACAACUCAAAGAAUCAAAAAACUGACAUUAUUGAUCCAAUUAUUUGAUUAACGAAACAAGUUACCCUGGGGAUAACAGCGCAAUCCAUUUUGAGAGCCCCUAUCAACAAAUGGGUUUACGACCUCGAUGUUGGAUCGGGGUAUCCCGGUGGCGCAGCCGCUACUAAUGGUUCGUUUGUUCAACGAUUAAUAACCCCACGUGAUCUGAGUUCAAACCNGA